Molecule: transfer RNA, 72 nt
Filed under: Glossina pallidipes
Lineage: Eukaryota; Metazoa; Arthropoda; Insecta; Diptera; Glossinidae
Description: tRNA tRNA-Val
Rfam family: tRNA
About the family: Transfer RNA (tRNA) molecules are approximately 80 nucleotides in length.
Source: RNAcentral
UGCCGUGUGGUCUAGUGGUUAGGGCGUCCGGCAAACAACCGGAAGACCCAGGUUCGAUUCCUGGUGUGGCAG